RNAcentral lists this ribosomal RNA (253 nucleotides) under uncultured bacterium. RNAcentral's name for it is "partial 16S ribosomal RNA". It matches the Rfam family "Bacterial small subunit ribosomal RNA", at positions 524 to 776 of the family's 1533-position model. The record is from RNAcentral.
UACGAAGGGUGCAAGCGUUACUCGGAAUUACUGGGCGUAAAGCGUGCGUAGGUGGUUCGUUAAGUCUGAUGUGAAAGCCCUGGGCUCAACCUGGGAAUGGCAUUGGAAACUGGCGACCUAGAGUGCGGUAGAGGGUAGUGGAAUUCCCGGUGUAGCAGUGAAAUGCGUAGAUAUCAGGAGGAACACCGGUGGCGAAGGCGGCUACCUGGACAGAGUCUGACGCUGAGGCACGAAAGCUAGGGGAGCAAACAGG